GACAGAGGUGCCGAGCGUUAGGCGGAAUCACUGGGCUUAAAGCGUGUGUAGGCGGAUCGUUAAGUGCCUUGUGAAAUCCCACGGCUCAACCGUGGAACUGCUUGGCAUACUGGCGAUCUUGAGCCACUUAGGGGCUACCGGAACAAAUGGUGGAGCGGUGAAAUGCGUAGAUAUCAUUUGGAACGCCAAUGGUGAAAACAGGCAGCUGGGAGUGUGCUGACGCUGAGACACGAAAGCCAGGGGAGCAAACGGG
RNAcentral lists this ribosomal RNA (253 nucleotides) under uncultured bacterium. RNAcentral's name for it is "partial 16S ribosomal RNA". It matches the Rfam family "Bacterial small subunit ribosomal RNA", at positions 524 to 776 of the family's 1533-position model. The record is from RNAcentral.